GCUUUGACUUAUUUCUAUCUCCCAUCCGGCUGCUACUUAAUCCCUUGGCCCUCCUAGCCUGGUAGUAUCUUCAGAAAUGGAGACCCAGGGUAGUGUUGCAGAAAGAGCACUAGACUAGGGGUCAGGGCUUUCAUCCCAGGUUUGCCCCCUGACUUGAGUAAGUUCACUCCCUUCUCAAUGCCCGUGACAUUAGACCAGACCAUAUAUAAGCAGAUUAUAGUAAAAACACGCACAGGGCUGGAAUUGGAAUUGGAAGGAUAAAAUACCUCUAAGGGCAUUGGAUGUAUUUCCCAUCAUGCAGAUAUUAUAUUACAGAUCUAUAACUUCAUUGAAAAAUAAAGAUGAUAGAAUGAAAAUGUAUUUGGUAUUAUUUUAUCGUAGCUUUGUAACAGGAGUUAAUCUUUCUUGUAUCUCUUUGUUUCUUUGGUGAGAGAAGUGGAAGUUACUUUUCCUAGUGCCAGGGUAGAAAAUGGCUACGUGGACUUCCCCAGGGGAGUUUUCCCUUAGGAGGAUACAUAUCAAUUUACACUGUAGAAGACAGGUGAACCAACUGGUCUUCAACAGCGACACCAUGUGGCUGAGAGAAGUAAAGACAGCACUGGACUUGAAAGAUCCAGGGUCAGCCUGCACCCAAAGGAACAGUGAGUGGGUGUACGUAGGUCAGGAGGAAGACUGACCUUUUUAUUACUAGACUAGGUAAGGACUACAGUGAUUUUGUUUGGUAUUGGUACUUUGAGUUUUGGGAGCAGUUCAUACUAGUUAAAUACAUUCUAUGAUAAAUGUUAAAAAUAGAUUUUACAUUUCUGGAAAUCUGUAACUACAAUGUUUUGACUUUUGCAGGUUUUGCUGGAGCCUCUGAGCAUCACACUGCAGACUACUGAACACAAGCAUUGUUUGGUUUCCUCUUUCACUGCAUGGUGUCCAACCUGUUUUUUGAAAAGGAAGAGGGAGAAUGGAGAACUCAAUUUUUGAAUUUCAAAUGAGAUUACACCGGGGUCAUUACAUUUUUCUCUAAGGUACCUUUUAGCUCAAAUGUCUAUAGUUGUAUAUGGAACUUUUUAAUGUUUUAAGAAUCUCCUGGAAAAGUUAUUCAUGCUA
This 1098-nucleotide long non-coding RNA is filed under the name Felis catus (domestic cat). Its description in RNAcentral is "lncRNA (ENSFCAG00000047650.1)". Lineage: Eukaryota; Metazoa; Chordata; Mammalia; Carnivora; Felidae. The record is from RNAcentral.